Molecule: long non-coding RNA, 1446 nt
Filed under: Phascolarctos cinereus (koala)
Lineage: Eukaryota; Metazoa; Chordata; Mammalia; Diprotodontia; Phascolarctidae
Description: lncRNA (ENSPCIG00000009817.2)
Source: RNAcentral
CCCGCUUGAGACAACCCACUAAAAAAAAACAUGAAUCUCCAUUUGGUCUACAAGACCAUAAUUCAACAUGUGACAUCAUAGUAACAUAAAGGAUGCUGACUUCAAACAAAGGCCAGGUAAACAAUACCACAAGGUUAAAACCAGGCAGCAAGUAUUCAUACUAUUCAUUUCCCUAAAUUACCACCUCCCAAACAUCCAGGGAGUUGAGGCUGGGAGUCCACUCUCUCUGUCCUCCCUGCCCCAUCUCCAUCACAGCAAGAGAAGGGGCCCAUUAAAGUUCACCCACAAGAAGAUUCUAGGACCUUAGGGCAUAUGCAGCAACUGGUUUUUACCUUCCUUUUGGGCUUCUUAGAACAGCAACCAAAAAGCACAGUGGAAAUUGAUGCUGCCUCUUCUCAGUACAGUAACAAUAUAUUUUUGGAGUUGAAGGCCUUUUGCUCCACUUCCACUUUUGACCCACCUGUUCUGCCAUGAAGUUAGAUGCAACUGAAGGAAGCCUUCUUGAUUCUGCAUCCCCCUUCUCCUUGGCUCUAGCCUCUGAUCUGUGCCUGAAACUGCUUCUAGUCUCUUCUACAAGACUCAUCCUACCUCCACCGAUGACCAGAGAUGCUUCUCUCCUGUCAGAGUUUGCACAGCUUGGCGUGUGACACCAUCAAGCCAGCAUCUAAGUAUCCUAGGAUUUAUGGACAAACUGAAACAGAGAUGGAAGCAUGUCCACUAAUGACAGAGGAGAUCUUUGCUGCCCCCAUUAUUCAGGACAAAUGGAUCAGAGGGUUACAAAACAAAGUGUUUUGUGAGGGAUCCAAAAUGUGGAAGAGGAACAAGAGAAUGAGGUCACAGAAAAGGAGAAUGAGGUUGAAGAUAAAGAAGAGGAGGUGGAAGAAGAUAAAGAGAAGCAGGAAGAAAAGAAAAAGAAAAAGGAAGAAGAGGAGGAGGAGGAAGAGAGAGAAAGUAGAGCAAAAUGAGGAGGAAGAAGAGGAAAAGGAAGAAGAGGAGGAGGUGGGGGAAGAAGAACAAGAUGAGGAAGAGGAGGAGGAAGAGGAAAAAGAGGAAGGGGAAGAGGAGGAGGAAGAAGAGGAGGAAGAAGAGGAAGAAGCAGAAAAAGAGAAAGCGGAAGGGGGAAGUAUCCAGCAGAAAGAAGAGUCAGCUUUUGUUUUCCCAAAACUUGUCAGCAGGGACGACUUAACCCAUCCAUCCAGUUGGAUAUCUACCCUACUUUAAAAAGUGCUUCAGUAAAAGGAAAUCUCACAAUAUUUAUUGGUUGAUCUGUGCUACAGUUUAAUAACUCAUAUCUUUUGGUUAAAAAGUUUCAUCUUCCUUGUCCAAAUUAUCUUCCAUGGUUAAGUCCAUCCAUAUCCUUCAGGUCAUGAGAAAGCAGUCCUCAUCCUCCUUAAGCCUGUCCUUUAUAUGGUAAAAGACACAGCAGCCACCAUUCCUCUCCGAGUU